UAGGGAAUUUUGGACAAUGGGCGAAAGCCUGAUCCAGCCAUGCCGCGUGCGGGAAGAAGGCCUUCGGGUUGUAAACCGCUUUUGUCAGGGAAGAAAUCUUUCGAGCUAAUAUCUUGAGAGGAUGACGGUACCUGAAGAAUAAGCACCGGCUAACUACGUGCCAGCAGCCGCGGUAAUACGUAGGGUGCAAGCGUUAAUCGGAAUUACUGGGCGUAAAGCGUGCGCAGGCGGUUGCGCAAGACAGGUGUGAAAUCCCCGGGCUUAACCUGGGAACUGCACUUGUGACUGCACAGCUGGAGUACGGCAGAGGGGGAUGGAAUUCCGCGUGUAGCAGUGAAAUGCGUAGAUAUGCGGAGGAACACCGAUGGCGAAGGCAGUCCCCUGGGCCUGUACUGACGCUCAUGCACGAAAGCGUGGGGAGCAAACAGGAUUAGAUACCCUGGUAGUCCACGCCCUAAACGAUGUCAACUGGUUGUUGGGAAGGUUUCUUCUCAGUAACGUAGCUAACGCGUGAAGUUGACCGCCUGGGGAGUACGGCCGCAAGGUUGA
This 549-nucleotide ribosomal RNA is filed under the name uncultured Burkholderiales bacterium. RNAcentral's name for it is "bacterial SSU rRNA". It matches the Rfam family "Bacterial small subunit ribosomal RNA", at positions 355 to 897 of the family's 1533-position model. The record is from RNAcentral. Lineage: Bacteria; Pseudomonadati; Pseudomonadota; Betaproteobacteria; Burkholderiales.